RNAcentral lists this ribosomal RNA (503 nucleotides) under uncultured bacterium. RNAcentral describes it as "partial 16S ribosomal RNA". It matches the Rfam family "Bacterial small subunit ribosomal RNA", at positions 28 to 523 of the family's 1533-position model. The record is from RNAcentral.
GGUUAAUGCUAGCGGUGCGCUUAACACAUGCAAGUCGAGCGGGGUGAUGGUGCUUGCACUAUCACUUAGCGGCGGACGGGUGAGUAAUGCUUAGGAAUCUGCCUAUUAGUGGGGGACAACAUCUCGAAAGGGAUGCUAAUACCGCAUACGUCCUACGGGAGAAAGCAGGGGAUCACUUGUGACCUUGCGCUAAUAGAUGAGCCUAAGUCGGAUUAGCUAGUUGGUGGGGUAAAGGCCUACCAAGGCGACGAUCUGUAGCGGGUCUGAGAGGAUGAUCCGCCACACUGGGACUGAGACACGGCCCAGACUCCUACGGGAGGCAGCAGUGGGGAAUAUUGGACAAUGGGGGGAACCCUGAUCCAGCCAUGCCGCGUGUGUGAAGAAGGCCUUAUGGUUGUAAAGCACUUUAAGCGAGGAGGAGGCUCUUUUGGUUAAUACCCAAGAUGAGUGGACGUUACUCGCAGAAUAAGCACCGGCUAACUCUGUGCCAGCAGCCGCAGUAA